This 338-nucleotide signal recognition particle RNA is filed under the name Saimiri boliviensis boliviensis (Bolivian squirrel monkey). Its description in RNAcentral is "Metazoan signal recognition particle RNA (ENSSBOG00000004778.1)". It matches the Rfam family "Metazoan signal recognition particle RNA". Rfam says of the family: The signal recognition particle (SRP) is a universally conserved ribonucleoprotein. It is involved in the co-translational targeting of proteins to membranes. The eukaryotic SRP consists of a 300-nucleotide 7S RNA and six proteins: SRPs 72, 68, 54, 19, 14, and 9. Lineage: Eukaryota; Metazoa; Chordata; Mammalia; Primates; Cebidae. The record is from RNAcentral.
GCCGGGCGCAGUGGCGCCUGCCUGUAGGCCCAGUUACUUGGGAGGCUGAGGCUGGAGGAUCUGGAGUCCAGGAGUUCUGGGCUGUAGUGUGCUAUGCGGAUCGGGUGUCGGCACUAAGUUCAGCAUCAAUAUGGUGACCUCCGGGGAGUGGGGGACCAGGAGGUUGCCUAAGGAGGGGAACCAGCCCAGGUCGCAAAUGGAGCAGGUCAAAACUCCCAUGCUAGGCCGGGCACUGUGGCUUAAGCCUGUAAUCCCAGCACUUUGGGAGGCCGAGGCGAGUGGAUCACAAGGUCAAGAGAUCGAGACCAUCCUGGUCAACAUGGUGAAACCCCGUCUCU